Molecule: ribosomal RNA, 491 nt
Filed under: uncultured bacterium
Lineage: Bacteria
Description: partial 16S ribosomal RNA
Rfam family: Bacterial small subunit ribosomal RNA
Source: RNAcentral
AGUGAACGCUGGCGGUAGGCCUAACACAUGCGAGUCGAACGGCAGCACAGUAAGAGCUUGCUCUUACGGGUGGCGAGUGGCGGACGGGUGAGGAAUACAUCGGAAUCUACUUUUUCGUGGGGGAUAACGUAGGGAAACUUACGCUAAUACCGCAUACGACCUACGGGUGAAAGCAGGGGAUCUUCGGACCUUGCGCGAUUGAAUGAGCCGAUGUCGGAUUAGCUAGUUGGCGGGGUAAAGGCCCACCAAGGCGACGAUCCGUAGCUGGUCUGAGAGGAUGAGCAGCCACACUGGAACUGAGACACGGUCCAGACUCCUACGGGAGGCAGCAGUGGGGAAUAUUGGACAAUGGGCGCAAGCCUGAUCCAGCCAUACCGCGUGGGUGAAGAAGGCCUUGGGUUGUAAAGCCCUUUUGUUGGGAAAGAAAAGCAGCAGGUUAAUACCCCGCUGUUCUGACGGUACCCAAAGAAUAAGCACCGGCUAACUUCGUG